UCGCAUUCAGUGGGUCCAAAGCGGGACCAUAAUUCGUCGACAAAGGCCUCCCAGGUAAUUUCCUUGUUCUCUUCUUUAUACGUACGUUGCAUCCACCUCCACCAUUGAUUAGCUUCUCCUUGGAGAUGAUAAGAGGCUAAAUACACCUUUUCAGUAGGGAUCGUUUUUUGAUAGUCGAAAAACUGUUCCACUUUAGCCAUCCAUUCUGUUGGAUCAUCGCCUGAAAAUUUAGGGAAUUCGAUUUUAGCGAGUUUGGAAGCGAAGAUAGG
RNAcentral lists this long non-coding RNA (269 nucleotides) under Manihot esculenta (cassava). RNAcentral's name for it is "long non-coding RNA (MESC_LNC010792)". Lineage: Eukaryota; Viridiplantae; Streptophyta; Magnoliopsida; Malpighiales; Euphorbiaceae. The record is from RNAcentral.